UGGCGGACGGGUGAGUAACGCGUGGGUAACCUGCCUCAUACAGGGGGAUAACAGUUAGAAAUGACUGCUAAUACCGCAUAAGACCACAGCACCGCAUGGUGCAGGGGUAAAAACUCCGGUGGUAUGAGAUGGACCCGCGUCUGAUUAGGUAGUUGGUGGGGUAACGGCCUACCAAGCCGACGAUCAGUAGCCGACCUGAGAGGGUGACCGGCCACGUUGGGACUGAGACACGGCCCAA
This 238-nucleotide ribosomal RNA is filed under the name uncultured bacterium. Its description in RNAcentral is "partial 16S ribosomal RNA". It matches the Rfam family "Bacterial small subunit ribosomal RNA", at positions 96 to 334 of the family's 1533-position model. The record is from RNAcentral.